This 800-nucleotide long non-coding RNA is filed under the name Homo sapiens (human). Its description in RNAcentral is "long non-coding RNA NONHSAT072678.2". Lineage: Eukaryota; Metazoa; Chordata; Mammalia; Primates; Hominidae. The record is from RNAcentral.
CAGCCAUGGUUUAUUUUCCCUUAGGCUAUUCCCAACAGAAGAGCUUGAACAAUGCUGCAUUUGCAUCAGGUUCAAAUGAGCGAGAGGAACAUUUGGCUAAAAUAUUUGGAACCAGCAUUGCUUGGAAUUCUCCUAAACCAGAAUAUUUCCUUGGCAGUGUGGACAAAAUUCCUGAUAAAGAGAUGGGGUUUCACUGUGUUAGCCAGGAUGGUCUCGAUCUCCUGACCUCAUGAUCCGCCCGCCUCGGCCUCCCAAAGUGCUGGGAUUACAGGCGUGAACCACCAUGCCCGGCCCAGAAUGUCCUUUCUUUUCGAAGCGGAGUAAUAUUCCAUUAUCACCUUUCAGAGGAGAAGAAUUUUAAAGAAUCCUGUCUGUUCGACAGGGAUUUAAGAGAGCAGUUAACUACUAUAGAUAAAGAAACACUUCAAGGAGCAGCUAAACCAGAUCUCCUCUGGCAAACACGACAUAUAAUAUUUUUAUAAUGGAUGGAAAGACAUGGUGGCACAAUUCUGAAGAAAAAAAUUUCACAAAACUUGCAAAAAAACAGAAACAGUUGAAGAGCAGCUCCUGUGUCUAAGCCAGGUCGUGGGGCCGUCAAACCAGGACUUGAAACCACAAUGCGAGGACAUUCUCCAUCUGCGCACCACAGGGAGGCAAUUCCAUUUCUGCCCGGGAGGUGUAUUCUACAAAAACGUCUGCUUCCCAUCCCAAUUUGAAUGGACCAAGAAAAACUGCUUUACCAUAGGACACUUGUGGCAAUAUGGCACCGAUGGCUGGCGUCGGUGAACCCGACAGACUAU